ACAAAUAGGUGAACCUGCCAACCCGGCAACCCGCCCGCCUAUGCGUGCUUGUAGAGCUCUAGGGGCGGGAGGCAGGGCGCGCGAGCUGCGAGGCGGCAGGCAAAGCGGGAGGCUUCUAGCCGGAGUAGGUGGUGGUGGUGGUGGUGGAAGCGGGCGGCAGAGGAGGGAGGGGGUGAGCGCAGGGCCGGCAGAGGAAAGAAAUUAGCUUUUUUAAGAAGGGCUUAAGAGGAGGUAGGGGGGUGAUUAGGGUGGCCACUAGGGAAAGGGAUUACGAUUGCUACUCGUCAGCGGCGCUGAAGAGGUGCGGAUUGGGGAGGGGAGGGAAGGCGCGAAGAAGAAGAAGGAGAGGAAGAAGGACCGCAAGGCAUGACUAAGCCAGCAGCGCGGACCCAAGCUAAACUGGCGGGGGUGGUGGACAGAAUAGGCGGGCACGUUGGCGAGCCCGGCAAGCAAAGAACCAAGGAGCGAGUAGCCAAAAGAACGCGACCAAACCCCUAAUAACCCUCGUUAUGAACAGGUCAAGAAGUGAGACGUAUGGUACACUUGUUCAAACUUCCAUCCCGGUAUGGACACGACGGCACGUCGUGUUACUAUAGAUGAUUCUGCGGUGUAACCACUAACAACAUUAAUAUAACAAGUUUUCAUAUCUUUUCUCUGCAACUUCUUUUAGCUGUAUCUAAACACUGCCACCUAUGACCAAUACCUUCCAUAUAAUAAUUAGUCUUGUCAAACUUAGCUUUGCUCUGUUACUCGUUUUACUACUAAAUUGGCCUGAAGGGUCUCGGAAAUGACAAUACCUCUAAAGUAGUGUACUUGGUAGUCUUCGUCUUUAAAAUUAACCUGUACUUCUACUGUGUCUUAACUGUGGUACGCUUCCAUACCUUAAACUCAGACUUCUACGACGUUCCCUAAAAAUGUCGAACAUACGCUCUGUACGUCCAAAAGCUUAAGCCUAGUCGUCCAUAUGGGCGAGGUCUGCACUAUUAAGUUAGUAAAGAGCAGCAUAACAUACGAGUUUCCUCCCUAAAGUACUUUGUGCAUUGACACUUCCGGAGGUGGGACUGGUUUUUGUCGUUCUUGCCUGUCCAUGAUCUCAACCAACGUUCCGAUACUAUUACUAUUUUUUUUAACUAGGACCGUUUACCCAUCAAUGAUUUAAACACUUUUGGGUAUUAGUACCUAGUCAAGGUGGUUCUUUUGAACUAUAAUCCAGUCGUGUAGUCCUGGAAUUAGGUCAACUUUUCGGUGUAAGACGGCUCCUUCUGGGACAACUCCUUGGCCAACUCCCUUACCUUAAACUAAGACUUCUUUGGCGUUUUAACAAGAUAUAUUUAAUACGCUCCGAAUUACCAAAAGCACGUGCAUAAUCGUCCAUAACGGCAAGUUCUGCACUAUUAAGUUAGUAAAGAGCGGUCUAACACACGAGGUUCCUUCCGAAGGCACUUCAAGCUCGGUUCUUUCUCUAAUGUCUGCUUCCCUUUUGCUUCGCGGGUUCUUACUAAUGAUCUCAACCAACGUUUCGAUACUAACACCACUUUUUCUACUUGAGACCUUUUACCUACCAUAGAUUUAAACUCUUCCUCGUAUUAGUAAGCAACAAUAGAAGAUUUGUCCGGGGAUCAUGUAGCUUGUAAUGAAGACCUCUUUUACGACUUAAACGACGUUUCUCAAGUCUAGGACUACUUCGCUUCCAACUCCUUAUAUCACGUCCCUAAGUUACAUUAAGAUGUCUAAGUGAGUGACAUGAAAUGUUGGUUAAUACAGUCCUUCGAUAUUUUAAACGUUUUCUUCCUAGUCAGUGUCUUCUUUAAAUGGUACACCGCUACAGACGGAACUUUCUCCGCCGUCUCUUCCAACGAGUUGAGUUUUCAACAGUAGGUUGUUACGGCGUGGCACCUCAAAGAUCAUCACUUUCAUUUGUAUUCCAGCAUGUCUACUUUUGUUACUCACGAAGCGUUACAAGUCUACACCGGUUUGUCUUUUGUUGUGGAAGCGUCGAGUGCUACAAAGUUCUCAGAUGGAGGUUUGAUUACAAGUAAGGAUGGUUGGACAAUUGACUAAGUCCGAAUCGAUUAAGACUAUUGUUAGUAGGCAGUAACACACGAAAGUGGAGUUCACCCUCUGUUACGUCCGUACCUAGUCUUACAAGAAUAAACGUACGACUUUUGUCUUUCCUCCUGACAGGACUCUUUAUAGUCUUAUCGUGAAGCUCAGCCCGUUGUGUCCCUUUAGUAAGUUGGAUAGUACCUGUAAGACUUCUUUGAUGUCAACGAUAAGGACGAUAUGGAGACUGCGAUAUGUACGGAAACAGCUCCUUAAGUGGACCUCGAAGACGACUACCUGUCAUGUUUAACAACCGACGUGGAUAACUUCGUCAAGGUUAAAGUAUGGCGGGGCGUCUUGGGUAGUCUGUUGGUUUUUCUUCAAAAACAUUAAAUCCAGGUAACGGUCCACAAUACAGACUUGACUGGUCCGCUCUUUUUCCAGGUGUGGGAGAACACGUACGAUGUCGAGAACGAACACCACGAGCACAACAAGGACAACUCCUCCGUCGAAGCGACUAGUUCCGGUAGCUCAGGUUCUAGUCUAGACCUCCUCGGUUUUAUCGUUCUAAUGGAAGUUCGUCCGACUGUGCAGAUCAAGGACUCCGCCAGAGGUACAGUAGCAGAUCACUUCUACCACUCCUGUUACUGGUGUCACUCGGUGGCCGCCACUUACAGCGUCCGAUGACGGUACUACUAGUCUAUAGACUCCUUUACUUCAACGUUCCACUCCGUAGUCUCAACCUUUGACUAAGACUCUUAACAAGACCCGUACUUUUGGUACUAUGACGACUAACGACUGUCUACUACUGACUUCCUCCUUUCAACAGACUUCUACAUUAAAAGACUUGGUAUUUCGACAUACUUCUAGCUUCGAUGGGACGUUCCAUCAUUUAAAUAUGAUAUUAAAUCUUGUAAACACAUAUUUAACCUAAAUCCUAAGAUUGGUGAACAGAGUACAACUAAUAUCUGACAUUAACCCAAUUGAGUUUAUCAAUUGAGGUAACUUCCCAAAACAUUUUUUUUUCUUGGUGGGAACGUCACAACCACCUAUUAGACAUGUACUUGAUGAAAAUAUCUUUCGUUUCUAUUUACGUAAGUAUGAAGUUGACUGAGAUAGAACGACCUCUCUUGAAAAUCGUCAGUUAUUACGAUACUAGCAAAACUUUUAUUAUUAAAAUACUAGUUUAAGCUACUACCAAAACGAAGAAGCGUAGGUAAGACAUCGUUGAAGAAACAUUCGUUUGUGCAUGGCCCUCAAGUCGUAAAAUGUAUAGACAGUUUUCGUGUGG
This 3334-nucleotide ribosomal RNA is filed under the name Triticum aestivum (bread wheat). RNAcentral's name for it is "partial small subunit ribosomal RNA". Lineage: Eukaryota; Viridiplantae; Streptophyta; Magnoliopsida; Poales; Poaceae. The record is from RNAcentral.